Molecule: ribosomal RNA, 279 nt
Filed under: uncultured bacterium
Lineage: Bacteria
Description: partial 16S ribosomal RNA
Rfam family: Bacterial small subunit ribosomal RNA
Source: RNAcentral
UGCCAGCCGCCGCGGUAAUACGGAGGGUGCAAGCGUUACUCGGAAUCACUGGGCGUAAAGGACGCGUAGGCGGAUUAUCAAGUCUUUUGUGAAAUCCUAUGGCUUAACCAUAGAACUGCUUGGGAAACUGAUAAUCUAGAGUGAGGGAGAGGCAGAUGGAAUUGGUGGUGUAGGGGUAAAAUCCGUAGAGAUCACCAGGAAUACCCAUUGCGAAGGCGAUCUGCUGGAACUCAACUGACGCUAAGGCGUGAAAGCGUGGGGAGCAAACAGGAUUAGAUA